This is a long non-coding RNA of Equus caballus (horse), 17075 nucleotides long. NCBI's taxonomy places the organism in Eukaryota, Metazoa, Chordata, Mammalia, Perissodactyla, Equidae. The record is from Ensembl.
CCCAAGCGUGCCCUCAGCUGUCUUGGUGCGGAUUUCUUCCCUGCUGAUGUGUCUUUGGGGUGUUUUGGGUGAGCAGUUUUUGACAUGUUGAACGGGAAAUUGCUUUUUUCCCUCCUGCUCAUGAGACUCCACACUUAAGACUUUAAUUGCAGAAGGCUCUGGGGCUGGCGAGCGCUGGCCUCAGCCUGGCGGGUGGGAGCGAGGCAGCUCCCGGUGCCGGUGCCGGCAGAGCCAAGCAGGGAGGGUCUGGGAGGCUCCAAUCUCCUCCGGCCACGGCCGCCCUGCUGCUCCUGGGGGCCAGGAGGUGCUGUCAGAUGUGGGCACUGUUACUGCCAGGAGUCGCUCGUCCUUUAACUCCUGUGUUCUCAGACCUGCCAGCCCAUCUAAAAAAUUUUAAAAGGGACCUAAAUGUGAGGGAGGGCCCACAUUUCACCCCAAGUGGUAAAAUGUUGACACUGGUAGACUGGCAACCGCUUGGAAAUUGAUACAAAUAGAUACACCCAAAACCACUAUAAAUAAAUCAGGAUGGAAUCCUAAUGUUCAAGUAAUCCACAGAAAGGCAAGAGAAGACAAACAGAGGAAGCAAACAGACAAACAAUAAUAAAGUAACAGAUUUAAGUCCUAACAUACUGAUAAUGUACCUUAAAUGUAAAUUAUUUAAAUACACCAAUUAAAAGGAAGAGUUUGGCAGAGUUCAGUUUUUAAAAUGACCCAAGGAUAUGCUGUUUACAAGAAACUUGCUUCAAAUUCAACAAUGACCUUUCCCUGAGGAGGACAUACAAAUGCAAAGAAACACGGGAAAGGACAGCCCGCAUCGGGAGCCGAUAGGCAGAUGCGAAUUAAAACCAUGAUGAGAUAUCACUGCACACCUAUCAGAAGGGCGGAAAUGAAAAAUAGUGACCACACCAAAUUCUGGCGCGGAUGCAGAGAACCCGGAUCCCUCCCACAGCGCCAGCGGGGAGGAGAAGUGGCACAGCCCCUCUGUCAAACAGUUCGGCCGUUUCUGACGAGACUAAACAUGCAAUUAGCACAUGACUCAGCAGUUGCGUUCUCCAGCAUUUAUCCCAGGGAGAGGCAGGCUUGCGUUCUCACAGGAGUCUGCUCCCGAAUGUGCGUAGCAGCCUUCUUCUAAUAGCCAAAAAUCGGAAACACCCAGAUGACCUUCAAUGGGUGAAAGGUUAAAUGGCACAUCCACACCAUGGAAUACUACUCAGCAAUAAAAUGGAUCGUUGACACACACAACAACUUGGAUUAAUCUGCCGGGAAUUGUUUUGAGUGAAAAAAGCCAGUCCCAAAACGUCACGCGGUGUGUGAUCCUAUUUAUAUAACAUUCUUGAAAUGACGAAAUUCUAGAAACGGAGAGCAGUUAGUGGGUCUGGGUGGCGGUCGGGGGGUUGGAGGCAGAGGAGGGCGGGAGGUGGGUGUGGUUACAAAAGGAGAACAAAAGAGAUUGUUGAGGUGAUGGAACAGGUCAGUAUCUGGGCUGUGGUGCUGGAGGACCCUACACAGGCAAUAGAAUUAUACAGACUAAAUACACACACGCAUGUGCGGACAAGCCAAACUGGGGACGUGUCCGUAGACGGGCGCCUUGCAUCAGUGUCGAGAUUCUGGUUGCGAUGCUGUGCUGUAGUUUUACAAGAUGUUACCACUGGGGGACGCUGGGCAGAGGGCACACGGGAUCUCUGUGUGUUACUUCUUACAAUACCAUGUGAAUCUACAAGGAUCUUAACAUGAAAAGGUCGAUUCCAAAGAUGAAUAAACAAAAAAUAAAUGAAACCAAUCAAAAUUCCCUCUGGACCGCACUGAGCUCCAGUUCGGCCCUCUGUCUGCCUGCCCCAACACCUCUGCCCCCAUCCCGGAUCGGGAUUCCUCAACCGCAUUGCCCUCCGUCUGCUCCCAGCUGCCUCCAGCCCUCAGUGACCAAAGCACAGCACAAAAUUCAAGGUUACGGCUUCUCCUGGGCUAUCCCAAAAGCAAAGCCUGAGACAGGACUGGCUUGAUUUGCAGGUGGUUUGUUUGGAAAAGCGACCCCAGGGAGAGGAGUAAGGAGGAGAGAGCGGGUGGCAGGGAAGGGGGUGAACCAGCGUGAGGAUGUCUUGUGGAGUGGCUGUCGCUAUGUGCUACUGGUGCCUGGCCCUGGGCGCCUCCGGAGCAUGAAAGGGAGAAGCAUUUGUUCAUCGCAGGCUCCCGCUGGUUGAGGGUGACUCUGAGGGUAUACUUAGGGGCUGCAGGUGUGUGGGUGCUGAGUGGGCUCCUUUGGGCUCCCCGACCUUGGGCAGGAAUCAAGAGGAGCCAGGACUUAAAGAACAGGAAAGAGCUCAUGUCCAUCUCUGGCUUCUGAGCCGCGUCAGCUUCCCGUGGUGCCCUGCGGAGCCUCAGUGCAUCGCACACCCUGUGGGGCCCCCCACUCAGCCUGCCCCUCAGGGGCUUCCAUCCCAGCAAAGUGGCUCCAUCCGCCCGGAUGCUCAGCCAGGCUCUGGAGCUUGCCCCUCUUCUGCCCCUUCAUCAGAGCCAUUGCUAAAGCUGGCCUCUGUCCACCUCUGUCCACCCGCCCCGUCCUUGUGUGACCACUGUGUCCUGGAGCCCUGCCCAGCCUCGUGCCUCCCCUCCCAGCCUCCAUCCCAUUCUGCCCACCCCAGCAGGAGAGGGGCUUUUUACCCCGCAGGGCGCCGGGAGCAUCCUCCUGCAGACUCCCAGUGGUGUCUGUGGCCUUUAGAACAAAAUGCAAUUCCAUACCUCGGCCUCCAGGUCCCACCCCACACGCUCCCUCCUCUCCACGCUGGCCAGGCAUGCGGCCCUCGUCCCGGCCUUGGCACACAGGACAAGCUGGCCUCCGUCCCUCAGGCAUCAGCGCACGUUCCACGUCUUCAGAGGCCCUUCCUGACCAGCCGACCCGCCCAGUAGGGCCCCACAGUCCUGUCACAGCCUGGGUCGCACUUAGUAAUCACGCGUUUAUCUGAUACAGACACUGGCAGAGUCUGCAAAUGUUCAUUAAGUGCCGGUUGAGCGCCUACCUGUGCCGGGACUGUGCUGUGAGCUUCCGCACACUCUCGGGCAUCUCAUCCCUUAGUCGCUGCCCGGGAGCAUCCUUUCCACCACGCAGCUGGAGAAAACCAGAGCUCGGGAGGGUGAGCAGCUUCUCCGAGGGAGCAGGAAGCUGAUGGAGGCCAGGUCUGCUCUGACUCCCAGCCCACAGGGACUAGAUCCAGCCUAGGGGGAGGUACUCGGAAGCCAGGCUGGCCCGAGGCCAAGAGCAGCUCCCCCCCCCUUGUAACUUGCCAUCGGGGGACGAAGGGGAUGCAUCCAGGCCAGGGCGAGGAGGCCAGGCAGGCUGAGGUUCCCAGGGUCACAGAGCAGAACCUCCCAAGCUUUGAAACAGACCCGCUGAGCUGGCGAGUGGGGCAGACCUCGCCUGCAUGAGCCUGAGUCUCUGCGGGCCAGGCUGGCGGCCCCCGUGAGGGAGGUCCCAUUGGGGACACACCCUUCAUGCGCGAGGAAGGACUGUGUGUUGGGGACCGCAGCGUCUGAGUUCACUGGGUCACAAGCCAGGCGUUUCCUGCGGCCACCUCCUGGCCUGAGCAGUUGUCCUAUGAGACUUCUGCCGAGGGUCAAGCUCAAAGCUGACGACCUCUCUCCCCAGAGGCCAUGACUCUGGGGUCUGUGGGGGGCGCCCUGGGCUACUGGUAAAGUCGAGGGGUGGACAGAAGUGGGGCCUGGCUGAAGCCUGUGCAGUGUCCCUCCUGUGCCCUCCCCAGCACGCACCCAGCUGCUCCGGGCCGCCCAGCUCGGAGAAAACUCACAGAGAGAUCGAAAGUCCCUGUGUGCCUGGCUGGUGGUGUGGAGGGGCACUGGAGGCCCCCAAACCCCAGGGGGCCAGCAGGGGCCUGGCAGGAGGAAGUCCCUGGGGUGGUGCCUGCAGAAGCGCUGAGUUCCCAAAGUACGUGGUUUAGGACAAGAUGGUGGAUGGUGGCUCUGCGGCCCAGUGAGGCUGAGAACUCCCCUAGGUCACAGGUCACAGACCAGGGCCUGCCACCCCCACCCAGGGAGGUCGUUGCAGCAGGUGCCGCAGCACUGCCGAGCGGGAUUCGGGAUUUUAGUUACAAGUGGGCCUCAAUGCUCGGGGUCUUCCAGACUCUGUGUCCCCCCACAGCACAGCAUCCAGGGCUUGGGGGCGCUUGGUGAAGGUCACCGCAGCCAGGACAUGGAUGGGACCGGCGUGUGUGUCCUGAGAGAGAGGAGACUGCAUCAGCUCCACCCUGGGCCCCAAAUUGCUCCAGGGCAGAGGUCCUCCAGCUUUUCCCAGGUAUCUCGCUGCAAACCGAAGAAGAGAGGUCGUGCGGAAAUUGCAGGCCUGCGGCCACUAGGAGCCAAGAGAGGCCCAGCCUGGCAGGUCACCUGGGGCCACUGAGAUUGUCCCCGGCCUCCCCUCCCCGGCAGGUGGGGAAUCCGUCUCUCUAGUUCCUCCAAAUCACGGUUCACGGCCCUGCCUGUGCAGCAGAACCCCCAGCAAUUUUGUGUGAAAAGCACAGAUUCCGAUGCAACUAGUCUGGCGGAGCCCCAGCAAGGCGUUAUUUUAAAGCUCCUGGUGAUUCGCAGCCCAGGCAGAAAGCUCCCUCCAGUCCCCAGCGCCACUGCAGCACCGGCCACGCCGCCGACGUCUCAAGGCCUCCACCUGUCUGUCUGUGAAACGGGAGCAGGACACCUACCUCGCGGGGGCGUGGUGAGAAUUAAGGGGAAAAACUGAGACUUAGUAAUGAGUGUCCCCCCCCCCCGAAGUCCCUCCCCCGGGUCAUCCGAGCCCUGCUUCAGGGCAGCUGCAUAUGUGGAGCUGGAACCAACAGCCCUGGGUCCAAACUCUGACAUUGCUGUUUUCCAGCUGUGACCUUGGGCAAAGGUCGUAGGAAGUCCCAGGGAGUUUUUAAAAAUAUAGACCUCAGACCCCAUCCCAGGCUGACCCAACAAGGACCCUCAAGGAGCAGGAUCCUCGUGUUUCUACCUGAACCAGAACGCCAGGCUCCCAAGACAGCCAGCCUGGCGCCUGCGUCUGGGGUCUGAAACUUCAGACCUCUGAGCAUCUGUUUUCCUUUCUGUUAAAUAGGGUGGUGACAGGGACCCCACAGUCCUAAAGGAAAGGGCUCGAAGCCCAAAGGGCGGUGACAGGCCUCAGCUUCUGCUUCCUCCCCCUGCGCCCCGGCUCCCGAUCCCUCAGGGCUCUGUGUGCCUUCUCCUGGUGGCCUUCAUGAAGGCACAGUGGUGUCAGGGGUGCUCCUGCCCCACUCUCCACUGGACGGCCUUCCCUGGGGUAGCGCUCCUAGCCCAGGGCCUGCCUCCACCCCGGUGAGCAGUCUGACUGGUGAGUCUGGAGGAAAGAGAGGAACAUGCCUGCCUCAGCCUCCCCGUCCCGCAGUGGAAUCACCAGCUGCACAGAGUACUUGGGAGCCUCGGUGCUCCAGGCCCGGAAACAGGGGCAGCUCCCAGAGCAGGAGCUGCUGCGUGAGUGAUUUGUGGGUCCCAGUACAAAAAGAAAAUGCGGGGGGGCCCUUGUUCAAAGAUUCUUAAAAAUUCCAAGACAGCGACAGCAGAGCAUUAACCCGAGCAAGGGGUGCCCGUACCCCAGGGCUCAGCUGUUGACGCAGUGGGAAGUCAGCAGCAAGCCGAGGCGUCUUCUCAGCCCGCGUGCCUCUGACCCGCUGCCGCCUUGCUCCCGCCUCUCAGAGCCUUGUGUCUCAGUCUUCACUCAGUUUACGUGGGGCAAAGGGGAGCUUCUCACUGACGCACUCAAGACCCCAGCAGUCAGAAGAGACUUGGCAAGAAGACACCCUGUGCACCCGGGCCCCGACUUCUAGAACCAUGGGAUACACGGCCUUCCCCUGAUCCCACCCAAAUCCCUCCUGUGGCAACGUCGGCCCGUCCUCUGCCCCAAGUAGCGGGUACUUCCUCAUGGCGCCCAAGACACCCACACUGGUCCUGCGCUCUCACUUCCCCUCUGCGCACGCCUGGAGCAUGACGCUGUCAUCCCGGGUUUCUCUCCACUUCGCGUCAGUAAAUCCUGCACAGGUACCCACCCCUGCACCCUCUCCACCUGCACCCGGUCAUAGCCACCACCCUCCCAGACCAGGUGGCUGCAGUGUUGGCUGCAUCGGCCUCCCCUACCCACCCUCCAGAAUGCAUUUCCCAGUCGAGCAGCCAAGGUGCUCCUGCCAAGCGCUCCGGCUCUCCCUGCAGGGGACACGCAGGCCCGCCUCAGGGCCCUGGAGUCAAAGCCUCAGGCUGCGGCAGCUCCUCUGAGACAAGUGGUCCCAGACCCCAAGGACCAGUCCCCUGCGUCCCCAACUCCAGGCCGACCUUCAGUCCGAGCUGGGCUGUUUGGCUACUUGUUUUCCAACCUGUUGAAGGUCCCCCUGCCCUGCCCUCCAAGCUGAGACUCCCAGCGGUCGGAGCACACGUGCCUGAGGGCAGGCACAGGGCAGGAGGGUGGCUGGCAGAGCGCAAGACCCCUCCACCCGCCGCUUCAGUGGUCUCAGUGGGCGGAUGAAGAGAUGCUGCCUCCAGACACUGCCUCCAGCCCGGGGCUCCCUGGGGAGGUGUCCCCCCCAGACUUCCAAUCCCGGAAAGGGGUGGGCAUCUCCCUAAAGGAGGGAGGAAGGAGGAGGAUGGGCCGGGGUGUGGAGGUGUAGAGGUAACCCCCCCUUCUUCUUUCCACCUCCACUCCAGAGCUGGUCCACGUGGGGGGAUCUUGGGGAUGAGCGCUUAAGGAGGCUGCUGGUCUGCCUGGAAUCCCCCUGGGGUUGUUCGAAUGCAGAAUCCAAGGCCUUCCCAGCCCACGCUGUACCCGCCUCUCUGCGGGUAAUCCUUACAUACAUCCGCGUUUAGGAACCUUGGGGAGGGCUGGAGAGAGGGGUGAACACGGGGGUCUGCCUGGUGGGGGAAGCAGAGUGAGGGACUGCACAGGGUGGGGGAUGCUGAAGAUAGAGACCAAGUCCAGAGCCUUGCAAAGGCCCCGCCCCUCCCCCAAGCCAGCACUUAAUCCUGUCCCUGCUACUUAACCUCUCCCACCAGAGACCCGGGCACUUUAACUCCAUUUAAAUAAGCCCUUGAGGGCUCAGAAGAAAUUGCUGCCAGCAAUUCAGAAGCCCUGAGCCCUGAGGGCAGUCAGAGGCUUUCUGUCCAGCUGCCCUGGGUUCCAGGCUGUUGCCAGAAGCCUCCGCACGGCUUGGAGGCCCAAGCCUGCCAUCCAGGGCAGGGGGCUCCCCUGGGAGGAUGCCACCAGUACCCAAAAGCCUGGCCCAGGCCUCUUGGGCCCCACUCACUGGCCGCCUGGCUUAGCUUCCCCCAGUUCUCUUUAGCUCAAGCAAGGCGGGCCCCAGUUGGGCAGACCUGGACCCCAAUCCUCUUCCGGGCUGAGAAUGCUGGGCAAUUACUUAGCCCAAUUACUGCCGUGGGCAACUACUUCCUCUUCUGCAAAAUGAGCUUCACAGCUCUUGUAAGGGUUGAAUGAACGAUGUCCAUAAAACCCCUGGCCUGGUACCUGGCAGGUUGGAGAGGUUCGUGGCCACGGAGAAGAAGCGCUCAGUACCAGGAGUGGUGUGAGCAGAACCAGUCCCUCCAGGGCUAAGCAGAAUGGGUCCCUCCAGCAUCCCUGAGCCUCCAGCAUCCGAGCCGCUCAGCACCCAGAAGAGCUGAUCAUUAAACAUUUACCAGCACAUCUCUGAUGAAGGCAUUGAGGAUGGGUGAAAUUUCUGGAAGACUGUGAGCUUGGUGGGUCUCUACCCUGGCUGCACGUGAGGGUCACCUGAGGAGCUCUUAGCAAAUCCCAACACUCAAACACCACUCCAGACGGAUUGAAUCAGAAACCGGAGGAAGCAGAGGAAUGGGGGCAGUGAGCUAGAGAGGGUCCCGGGGUCACAGGAGAAGACUGCCCGCCAGAGUGUGUUAGCCGGCGAACCGAAUGCCCUUUGACUGGGAGGUGCUGCUGACGCUGACGAGAGAGAAGAGACAAAGUCCAUGGAUGACCAAGGAGUGAGGUCCAGAGGCCACACGGCAGGAGAAGAGCCAGCCAGGCGUCGGGGUGCGGCGAACGGAGGCCCUGCCGGGAGUCCCAGCAGUUCACAUCUCAGUGAGCAGCUGACGGCACCGCUCGCUCGGCUGCCCCAGCCGGGCCACCAGCCCUGCGAGAGACACAUGCGCAGACCCGUCCUCAAGGACGCAGCCCUGUAAUUACCCUCAGCUGCCAGCAAACAGCAUCCACUGAAAUGAUAAGCAGACGGUGGAGGCCGGCCCCUCCCGGGGCUGCUCCAGGCGGCAUCCCGCAGACACCUCGGUGGUACGUGCUGUCCGCUGACAUCAGCAGCUUCCUGCCUGUAACAGAAGCCCUGACUCAGGGAGAAGAAGCCCUUCCCAAAGAAACCCAAGCUCCAGCCGCCCCCUGCCAGCCAGCCAGGCUCCUAGGCUGCUGGAAAACUGCUGUGUCCCGGGUGGAGUGAGCCCAGCAGACAGAGGACACAUAAUUAAUGUGACCUUCCAGAUGCAGAGACCCAGUGUGACAGCCUCACGGGUGCCUGUGAAGGCCACCGCCCACCAGGCCUGAUCUCAUUUUCUAAGUCAACCCAGGUGGACCUCCCUGGAGGAUGUGGGUUGGAGGCUGUGCCCUCUGUCCGCGCUUGCUUUGGUCCAGAGGAAGCCCCCUCGCCAAGCCUGAUGCCAGGUUUGACCCCACUGGGCAUACAAAUGACUACACGACCACUGACACUGGGUCCAGACACUGGUGCUGCCUCAGGUCCCCAGGGCUGCGAGGGACACGAGCCAGGGAAGUGACACCCGGCUCCAAGAGGCCCGGUUCCAGAGGGCUUUGCUCAGUGAGGUUUUGGAAGGUGUCACAGCUUGCCUUGGAGACGCUGUCAGUGCAGUGCCACGAGCCACACGUGGCGUUCGAACGCUCAAACGCAGCGAGCGCCAGUGGACAGCUGCCCAACGUGCAAAAUCCACACGAGAUUUCCAAGACGGAGAACAAUGAAAAUCAGGAAACUUAAAAUUACAGAUGCGUUUCACAUGAUGCUUCCACGGGAUAGCACUGCCCUAGACCCUCAGGAUAAAUGGACAAGCCCACUGGCCCCCCAGCUCCUGUGAUGACGUCAGCACAGCCAGCCUUCAAUCCCCGGUCCAGGCACCAUGGAGUGACACUGAGCAAGUCAUUUGGCCUCUCUGGGCGUCCUCCAGUCCCAAAGGGCCCAUUGGGAGGAUGCAACGAGGAGUUUCAUGAAGUACUCAGCACCAAGCACUGUGGUCACCUAUAAAGGCACCAGGGCCUAACUGAAAUUCGGCCCUGGUGGUCAGCGUCACCAUCUACUCCACAUUUUACACAUUCCUUCAAGAAGGAUUGCUACACGCAUGCCAGAGUGCCUGCUAGGGACAGAAGGAGACAUGGGAGAAACCGCAGGCACGUCCCACUGGCCGGGUGUGCUGGUCCAGCUGGGGAGAUAAGGCGUGCCGUGUGCACACAGACUUGAAAGAGUGACGUCCCCAUCCCACAUCACUGAUGAAGUGUCACCACGAGAGCUGCAGAUGUGACGGCUGCCGGGGGGAGGGGGUCCACGUGGCAGGCUCUGGCGGUUCUCAGAGCAGGCGCCUGGGGCCCAGCAGUCAGGCACAGUGUGCACAGAGUAGGCGCUCAAUGACUUUUAAGAGCACGGACAUGGGCAAUGGGUGUUGGCAGUCCCAACUCCGACGCUUCGCAGCUGUGGGAACCCGUUUAUUCGCAUCUGAGACUCAGUUUUCUCAUCUGUAAAAUGGAGAUAAGACCCAGCGUCAGGGCUCUUAUGAGGGGCUGGUCUGUGAGCAAAGGCCCUCUCACCCGGCCUGGGAUGUAGGGCGCGCUCGGCAGAGGGUCAUCCCCUCCCUCCUUGCCCUGAAAGGGAGGGGUGCAGCCUGAGCGGGGCAGGGCCCUAAAGGGGGGCGAGGGGAGGCUGCCCAGUGGGGACAGGGCUCCUCCAAGGGAAGCCGGGGGCAGACGGGGCCGAGGAGCAAGGGCCAGGCAGCAGGUGGGUCCCAGGAGGCCCUUGGUGCUCAGAUGCACGGAAUAGGGCAGCUUGGGCAGGAGUGAGUAAGGAAAUGGGUGUUUGGGGCGGAUUUUCAGGAAAAGGAGAAGCAGAGAGGCCAGGGCUACGGCCUUCGGGGUGAGGGCUGGACCUAGGGCAGGGGCUGUGGGGAAGGAAGGACCGAGAACAGCCCUAAAAGGUCUAUCUUUCCAGACCUUUCUCUGGGCACGCGUGUUUAGAGGGCAGCUGUGGGGUUUUUAUGGCAUCGUGCUGUGCGUCCACUGAGCGAUUCUCUCAUCACACCCUGCCCGUUCAGGGGCAUUUUGGUGGAAGCAAACGACAGCUCUGGGGCUCAGAGCCCCUCUUCUCUGAGUGCCCCACCCUCUCAGGGCCCAGCCAGGGCCUCGUCUGCGGACUGCCUUCAUCUGUAGGAUGGAUAAGAGUGGGCAUCUCACAGGCUGGCACGAAUGUGGAUGAGAAGGCCUGUGACAGCCUCUGGCCCUUGGCAGGUGCUCGGCAAAGAUGCACGGCCCUUCCUUUUCCACCACCAAGGAAAGGAUGCAGGACUCUAGGCCAGGGCCUGCCUGGGCAGGCAGGGGCGUGAGAAACAAGGCCUGUGGCAGACGCCCCCAGGGCCGGAUCGUGGUCCCGCCCGAACUUGGGGGCUUAAAAAAACAGAAGUUUCUUCUCCCCAGCUCUAGAGACCAGAAGUCCAAAAUCAACGUGUCAACAGGGUCACGCUGCCCCGAAGGCUCUAGGGGAGGACGCUUCUUUGUCUCUUCCAGCUUCCAGCGGCCCCAGGUGUCCUUGGCUCAUGGCUGCAUCACUUCCAUCUCUGCCUCCACCCUCACGUGGCCUUCUGGAGACGUCAGAAUGUCUCUGUGCGUCUUCUCCUCUUCAGUCUCUUACAUGGGCGCUCGUCAUUAUAUUUGGGGUCCGCCCUGAUCCAGGAGGAUCUCAUCUCGGGGUCCUUACUUUAACUACAUCUGCAAAGACCUUUAUUCCAAGUAGGGUCACAUUCUGAGGUUCCGGGAGACAUAUUGCGGGGGCUACUAUCCAACCCAUUAUAGUCUCCCCCUUGCCCCCCAAAUUCACAUCCAUCCCACGUGCAAACUACAUUCACCUCUCAUGCCCUCUUGCAUAUUGUUCAACUGUCUUUGCCUCGGUUUACCCCGCAGAGCUGAGGACAAUAAUGACCACCUCAUGCAGUGGUCGUGUGGAUAACAUAGGAGUGUAUUUACCGGGCGCCCAGCCCAAGGCUCGGUGGGACCAAGUCACGGGAGCUGCCGUCAGACAGUCCUCAGCCCCCACCACCCCUCCCCAGCUCCACCUUCUGAAACGAUAAUCUCCACGACAACGGGGACUUGUGUCUGUUUAACUCACUCCACAUUGUUCCACAAACCCCAGGCCCUCCUGCCGGCUGGUCACGAUGUGUGGAGACCCAGGGCCUCGUCGGGGCCCAGGGAAUAAAAGAGAAGAUCUGGGGGCGCGGCUUCCAGCCGGAGGUGUGGGGUCAAGUCCCAGCCCUGCCGCCACCACACACAGUUGGAACCUCAGUUUACCCCUCUGUAAGUGGGGGAUAAGGCAGGUCUGAGCCACCAGAACACAACCCUGCGUGCUGCCAUCCUGGGCACACAACCCAGUGGGUUCCCAGCCCCCUGCGCAAUCCAGCAGGCGGCUCCCCAGGAGCUGGAUGGCGCCCUGGCCCCCCUCUCGUGGCCUCUUCUAGCCAGCGGCCAGGGUGGACGUUAGCCCAGCCCUGCCCAGCCGAGCCAUCCAGGCCACCCCCACGUGUCCAAGGCUGGCACUGGGUUUGGUGUUAAAAGACCCCCUUCACAAGCAGUGAGCCGAAGACCCAAAAUAGAUGACACGGGUGCCCCAAGCCUGAUUCUGCUUCUCAGAGAGCACCCUGCCCCCAACAGAGUCCUGAGGACUGCCUGGGCUCGGUCCCCUGACCGGGCACUUCCUGGACCCAUAUAGACCCAGCAGAGGGGUCAACUCACACCCAGGGCAAAAAGUCUCCCGCUUGCACCCAGGGGUCGCCGUUCAAGGUCAACAGGGACUGAGGGACCCUCCACAGGGCAGCAGUGACAGCUCCUGGGCUCCAAGCCCCAUGGCCCCCAGGCGCUCCACGGGCCCCACAUGCGAGGCUCCCGGGACUCUGGAGCCUGCGGCUGGGCCGCAUGUGACGUCUUCUUCCGCAGAGAGCAGCGAGGUGCACAGCUCAGGCCCGCUGGCCUACAGGUGAUGUGCGUCCCUGGCCCCAGGGAUCCUCAUCCUGGGUGGGGGUUCUCACUCGGGCUUGGCUGUCCGGCACCUCCCUGUCUUAACAGCAAUCAUAAAAACAAUAAAAAUAACAGUACUAGUUAACAUGUGUGUGCCUUGCUCCCGCCUGGUGCUGCGCAAAGCACUUCACCUGUUCACCCAGUCAAACUUCAGGACUACCAACCCACUUAUCACCAGCCUCCCUUUCAGCAUGGGGAAACUGAGGCACAGGGCAACAACUCACUUCCUCAAGGUCCAGGGGGAGUCAAUGGCCGAGCUGGGAUGCGGAACCCUGUAGGCUGGCUGCUGGUGUCUGUGUCUUCAGCCCUCCCCUCUCUGGUUGGCAUUCGAGUCUUCAAAUCCGUGCUGCUCAGAGAGAGACAGCGCUUCUGAGGUGCUUCUUCACAGACAACCAGGUGAAGACGGGCCUCAGGAACUGCUAAUCCAGCAGGCUCCUCCUCAAGUCCUGGGAGCUGGCCCCGUGCCCCAGGGUCUAGCCCUGACCCUGUAUCUGGCCAGCAUGUACUGGUCCCCUACUCCCCUGCUCAAACCUCCAAAGGCCUUCCAUACGAAUUAGAAUCAAGUCCAAACUCCUAGCCACAGCACCGGGGCAAGCUGCCUUCCUCCUCCCCCAAUCUGCUCUCCUGCCCUGUUCCCCUCUGCUCCACUUCCUGCCUUCCUUCUGGUUCCCGAACACGCCCAGUUUGUACCUGCCUCAGGGCCUUUGCACCUGCUGUCCCUGCAGUCUUUACAUGGCUGGCUCCUUCUCAACAUGCGGGUCAUACUUCACCUGGAACUUGCUCAGUGAGGCCUUCUCUGACCACCCAGGCUAAAGCAGACUUAAUGCAAACACACUGAAAGAACGAGACAAAAGGAUGAUUCUUUCCCACCAGCAAGGGGAGGGUCAGGGCUGGGAUUGGACCAGCCCCUCCUUGCGUUCAGCAGAUACAGAGGCCGGGAGAGUGGACAUGAUCAGUCCCAGGACACAAGGUCCCCUAACAAGCCGGGAGGACAGACAGAGAGAGCAGCGUGGGGCAGCGCCGAGGAUAACGGGGCCUUUGUCCAGGGGCCUGGGGCCAUCUGCCUUCAGGACAAUGCCUUAGGGGUCUGGCAUCCCGAGGAUUUGUGCUGCCUACACGAGGCAGCAUCCUGUCCUGGGAGGAGAAGCACCCCUGGGAGGGGUGCGGACGGGUGCGCCAUCCACAGGCCCAAAUGCCUCCUUCCUUAGGAUCCCAUCCGACAGCCAGGGCUCCCGGCUUCCCCACCCUGUGCCCUCAUCCCUACCCCCGGGUCCUCUCGGGGCGCCCAGCACCUCAGUUUUACCGCCCGCUGUGUCCCAGGCCUGGGCCUCUCCCCCCAAGUCCUAGACUUCUUUAGGGCUCCCUAUGGAGCUGACCGGGUCCCCUCAGACCAUUUUAUUAAACACACUUCACUUAUUUACAGUAAUCUCAAUGCCUCCUCCGGGCUGCUCCCUGUAUGAGGCACUGGUCAAUGUCCAGCAUUAGCAACCAGCUCUCUUGGGAAAGGAAGGAAAAAAUAUAUACAUAUAUAUAUAAAAUAAAUUGUACUGACAUAAAGGAUGUGUAUCACACAAUUUACAAAUUAUAAUAAAAUGUAAACUCCGUACGAGCAGGUGAUUCACAGAACUCUUUCUUUCGUGGACUUUUGGCCCAACUCGUGGAUCAGUAGCCAACCUGUGCUUGCAAUUGACGAACGCGUGUAGUUCGGACACAAACGUUGGUUGACAUUUUCAUUUCAGCUGACUGGGAAAAUGAAAGCAAAACAACGAAGAAGCAUGUCAGACUUCACCUUUUUGCAAUGACGUGAACGACUUCUUUGCUGAAUCAGAAAAGAUUUUUUUUAAUCCUGGGAGAGUAUUUCCUCAAUUUUUUGUGCCAUUCGCAGUGUGACGUCGACAGACACGCCAUGAUCAAUCUGCAGCAUUAACAUUGUUUCCAUCGCUUUCUUAACUCCAGACAAUGAACAAAACAAUACCUCAGGCCCCGAUUUGCAGCGUUUGCCAGUUUUCGUGGUGUAAAUGCUCCCACAGCAGCUGAUCUCGAGCUGCCAGCAGGAAGUCACGGAACCCAGAAUUGGGACCAGGUGCUCAGUGGCCGCCACUGCCCACGUCUGCCUCACACAGACUCCCUGGACCAGUGUCACCUCGGGACCCGGUAGGAGUACGAUGCAGUGAUCACGGGGAAGAAAUGAGUUUUGAGCAUUUAUUACCUUUGUUCUUAAUAUAAUUGAUGUAAUUGCAAAUUUAAAUAAUUUAAUUUUUAAUAAUGUCUGUGUUUAACAACCGGUUCACAAAAUUUCUGAAAAUUUAGCCAUCAGCUCUCGCAAGCCAGUAUGAGCCGGCUCUAGAACACCACUGGCAGGAUCAUCUGGUUCCUUGCAAAAAUCCUACUUCUUCAACAUUCAUUUGACAGAUAUUUCCUGGGUAUCUACUACGUGCCAGGCAGUGUUCUAGAUGCUGGGGACACAGCAGAGAAGGGAGGUGAGGAGGGCCUGCCGUCGUGGAUUUAUGCUCCUCUGGGAGAGAGACAAGGAGCAUCUUCGAUACACAGAAGUUACUGUCUGUUCUAAGGCAAAGUCGGUGCCAGGGAAAAGAGAAGGGAAGACGAGGAGUGCCGGCGGGGUGGGGCCGUAAUCACAGAGUGGUCAGGAGCAGUUCACUGAAAAGAUGACAUUUGAGCAAAGACUUGAGGGAAAAGGAGAGAAGCAUGCAACUGUCUGAGGAAGAAAGUUCCAGGCUGUGGCCACAGCCAGUGCAAAGACCCUGAGGCAGCAGCGUGCCUGCCAUGUUUGAGGAUCGGUGGAGAGGUCCAUGUACCUGGAGCAGAGCGUGCAAGGGGGAGAGUGAGAAGAAGGUCACAGAGGAAGUCACACAGGGCCUUGGUGGCCUUUGUAGGGCUGUUGAGCUGAGAAGGUCUUACCUCCUUUUUGCAGAUGAAGAAACUGAGCCCUGGAGUCACACAGGUUCACCUUGGCAACCUGAAGCCGGCUCCGUCCACAAGCACCUCUCCUCCGCAGCGAGCCUCCCUCCGGGCUUAAAGGCACACCUCCCUCUCCUCCCAGCCGGGCUGCAGGACUCGAGGGAGGCAGCAGGGCUGAGCACUUCAGCCAGGACAGGAGCAGAAGGUGGGGGGAAUCCUCUCACCAACCAGCAGCCCCACUUCCACUCUGCGGUGGGGGCCUCCCCCUUUGUGUCCCCCCAGGCCCAGGGACGUCUCCAUAAAGCCCUCACCUACCCAGGACUGGGGCCGCCCCAGCUGGACUCUCCGUCUUGACCCUGGUCUUCUCUAGGGGGUGGACAUAUGAACCUGGCGGUGGCAGGCGCAGGCGCUCCUCUGUGGGGUUGGAGGGUUCAGGUUUAGGGGGAAAUCGUUGGUGUGCCUGCAAAGAACCAGGCAUCUCAUGAGCAAUGUGGAAACCGCGUAGUCGCAUUCAGGAGCGGCAUGCACCAGCGCUACAGACUGUGUGGGACAGACACUGGCCUCGCCUUUCUGAAAACGAGAGCUGCCCCAGAGCUGGGACAUGUCCUCCAGGACACCCAGUCCCCACCUGGGAGCACAAGGCUUCUUCAUAAUCCCUGAGGCAUGCAAGGGCCACCAGGCAAGAGAGGUUCCCCCUGGGUCGGGCUGAGGAGGAAGUGGGAAGUGAUGGGGAGCCAGGCUCACCCUGGGUUCUCUCACUUUAACACCCACAGCAUUGCAUCUGCGUCCAACUGUCUGUCUGUCUGUCUGUCCAUCAAGACCUAUUUGGAAAAAGAAGGCAGAAGUGAGGCUUCACGUAAAUGGGAAUGUAUCUUUGCCGGUGGGGAACAGAGAGGGAGAUGAAAAAGCCACAUCAGCAGAGUGUGUGAGAGUGAGCGCUCCCAGAUAGCUCAGUGUACACACAGCUGUAGCUGGUUUCACAAUUCCCAGAGAGAAUCGUCUCCCACGAAGGCUUCUGCAGCGAGAUUGCUCUGGUCCUGUGCAAUAUUUCUCUGCUUCGAUGGCACUCGCCAUCUCCCGGCUGAACACAGAAACCAGCAAUCACCAAUAGCUUCAGCAAGAGAAGGGCCCUUCCUCCACAUGGCCCUUCCUCACGUCUUCUUCCAUGACACUCUGCCAUUUCCUCGGAGCCAAAGAAAACACCAGUUUCAACAGCAUGGGGGCGGGGGGUGGGUAUCUAUUCCUGAACCUUCCGAGUUGGAUGAGUCAAGGAAGACAAAAUCACCCCAUUAAAAUUGUUACUGUCAAAUGGCAGGCAAUCAACUGGCAAACACAGGCCAGAUGGACCUUCGGAAGAAAUCCAUGGAUAGAGCCAGAGCUGGUUCCGAGGCCUGCGCGACUGAACUCUUUCAAUAAAAGGAGGAAAGAAAGGCAGGCUUGUGUUUCCAUGUCCUGGGGUCCCCUGUUACUUUUCCAUGCUUUUUAUUUCCACAGCAUCAGAAAGAAACCCGCAUCCCAAAGUGACAAGUGGCCAAGGACACCUGUCGGCACCAGGGCACACGUGCGAGUAAGUAUUCUGGACCCCCCGGGCCAUCAAUCAGGGGCCAACAGGGUUCACCUGAACCCCUCCACAAGGAGAGCUGGUGGACUCCAUUCACUGAGUCGCCCCCGAGGUUGACACCUCUCCCAGAAGCAGGCCCACCUUCCAACUUCCAUGGGCCCUGGGCACUUUGGCCUCGUGGGCCCCUUCCUUCAUAAAAAAGUGUUAAAAAUUAGUUUCUAAGUGCAUUGGUAUAAAGAUGAACACAUCAGUAUUAUAUAUUAAAAUACUUUCUUC